GACGAACUCUGGCGGCGUGCUUAACACAUGCAAGUCGAACGGUAAGGCUCCAGCUUGCUGGGGUACACGAGUGGCGAACGGGUGAGUAACACGUGGGUGACCUGCCCUGCACUUCGGGAUAAGCCUGGGAAACUGGGUCUAAUACCGGAUAGGACCGCACCGUGAGGGUGUGGUGGAAAGUUUUUUCGGUGUGGGAUGGGCCCGCGGCCUAUCAGCUUGUUGGUGGGGUAAUGGCCUACCAAGGCGGCGACGGGUAGCCGGCCUGAGAGGGUGGACGGCCACAUUGGGACUGAGACACGGCCCAGACUCCUACGGGAGGCAGCAGUGGGGAAUAUUGCACAAUGGGCGGAAGCCUGAUGCAGCGACGCCGCGUGGGGGAUGACGGCCUUCGGGUUGUAAACUCCUUUCACCAUCGACGAAGGGUUUCUGACGGUAGAUGGAGAAGAAGCACCGGCUAACUACGUGCCAGCAGCCGCGGUAAUACGUAGGGUGCGAGCGUUGUCCGGAAUUACUGGGCGUAAAGAGCUCGUAGGUGGUUUGUCGCGUCGUCUGUGAAAUUCCGGGGCUUAACUCCGGGCGUGCAGGCGAUACGGGCAUAACUUGAGUACUGUAGGGGAGACUGGAAUUCCUGGUGUAGCGGUGAAAUGCGCAGAUAUCAGGAGGAACACCGGUGGCGAAGGCGGGUCUCUGGGCAGUAACUGACGCUGAGGAGCGAAAGCAUGGGGAGCGAACAGGAUUAGAUACCCUGGUAGCCCAUGCCGUAAACGGUGGGCGCUAGGUGUGGGUUUCCUUCCACGGGAUCCGUGCCGUAGCUAACGCAUUAAGCGCCCCGCCUGGGGAGUACGGCCGCAAGGCUAAAACUCAAAGGAAUUGACGGGGGCCCGCACAAGCGGCGGAGCAUGUGGAUUAAUUCGAUGCAACGCGAAGAACCUUACCUGGGCUUGACAUAUACAGGAUCGCGCCAGAGAUGGUGUUUCCCUUGUGGCUUGUAUACAGGUGGUGCAUGGUUGUCGUCAGCUCGUGUCGUGAGAUGUUGGGUUAAGUCCCGCAACGAGCGCAACCCUUGUCUUAUGUUGCCAGCACGUUGUGGUGGGGACUCGUAAGAAACUGCCGGGGUUAACUCGGAGGAAGGUGGGGAUGACGUCAAAUCAUCAUGCCCCUUAUGUCCAGGGCUUCACACAUGCUACAAUGGUCGGUACAGUGGGUUGCCAGUCCGUGAGGGCGAGCUAAUCCCGCAAAGCCGGUCUCAGUUCGGAUCGGGGUCUGCAACUCGACCCCGUGAAGUCGGAGUCGCUAGUAAUCGCAGAUCAGCAACGCUGCGGUGAAUACGUUCCCGGGCC
RNAcentral lists this ribosomal RNA (1340 nucleotides) under uncultured bacterium. Its description in RNAcentral is "partial 16S ribosomal RNA". It matches the Rfam family "Bacterial small subunit ribosomal RNA", at positions 28 to 1380 of the family's 1533-position model. The record is from RNAcentral.